Molecule: long non-coding RNA, 429 nt
Filed under: Phoenix dactylifera (date palm)
Lineage: Eukaryota; Viridiplantae; Streptophyta; Magnoliopsida; Arecales; Arecaceae
Description: long non-coding RNA (PDAC_LNC023151)
Source: RNAcentral
AAACAAUGAAGUAAAAUCCAUAAAUGAAUUCAAAUGUCUGGUAAUUCAAUUUAUCCAAGCUUGAAAGGAGUGAAACAAUAAAUUUCGGAGUUAAAGCUCCCCCUUUCAUUUGGAAUUAUAUAAGCCUUCAUAUUAUGCAAUCAAUUGUUUGGCUUAUAUGUUAUUAAUGAUUUAGCUUGAUUAAAAUUCAGAUUCUCCCCCUCAACAUAUGCAUUCUACUUUGUUUUGACUCUUUGAAUUUCCUUUUAAUGCUUUGAAGUUUUUGAACUGAAUUUUUUUUUGGUUUUUAGAGAGAAAAUCUGUCAAUUUGUUCUUGAGUAGGAUUCAGCUAAUCUCCGAAUAUCCCUUGAAUAGAUUCUGGAGAUUACUCCAUUAGGAGCCCCAAAAGAGAGAUAAUGAGCCUCGAGGUACCGAAUCACUUAGAACAAA